UAAUACUCCAUAGUCGACGAGAUCUGGAAAGACUUGUGGCUCAAAGUUCAGGCGCUCUAGGAUUGGUCUGCGGCCUAUCAGGUAGUAGUGGGUGUAACGGACCCACUAGCCGAUGACGGGUAUGGGCCUUGAGAGAGGGAGCCCAGAGAUGGAUUCUGAGACACGAAUCCAGGCCCUACGGGGCGCAGCAAUCGCGAAAACUUCACAAUGGAGGCAACUCCGAUGAGGGAAUUCCUAGUGCCAAUGCAUUUUGUGUUGGCUUUUCUUCAGCGUAGAUAACUGAUGGAAUAAGGGCUGGGUAAGACGGGUGCCAGCCGCCGCGGUAAUACCCGCAGCCCAAGUGGUGGUCGAUAUUAUUGAGUCUAAAACGUUCGUAGCCGGUUCAAUAAAUCUCUGGGUAAAUCGGAGGGCUCAACCUUCCGAAUUCCGGAGCGACUGUUGAACUUGGGACCGGGAGAGGCAAGAGGUACUUCUGGGGUAGGGGUAAAAUCCUGUAAUCCUAGAAGGACCACCGGUGGCGAAGGCGUCUUGCUAGAACGGAUCCGACGGUGAGGGACGAAGCCCUGGGUCGCAAACGGGAUUAGAUACCCCGGUAGUCCAGGGUGUAACGCUGCAGACUUGGUGU
RNAcentral lists this ribosomal RNA (625 nucleotides) under uncultured archaeon. RNAcentral describes it as "bacterial SSU rRNA". It matches the Rfam family "Archaeal small subunit ribosomal RNA", at positions 147 to 774 of the family's 1478-position model. The record is from RNAcentral.